This 702-nucleotide long non-coding RNA is filed under the name Mus caroli (Ryukyu mouse). RNAcentral describes it as "lncRNA (MGP_CAROLIEiJ_G0004796.1)". The record is from RNAcentral. Lineage: Eukaryota; Metazoa; Chordata; Mammalia; Rodentia; Muridae.
GACAGUGGAGAGACCUGCCCGCCCCCAGGGGCUCUUCAGAGCCUCAUCGAAAGGCAACCCAGGCCUCCUUGGAAUGUGGCUGAUCAGGCUCCUACAGACACCAACUGACUUGAGGGAGGUUGCAGGUAGCCGAAGAGCAGAGUUUCAGCUUGAGUCUUCACACCAGAUGGAUUUGAAUCUUAAGCGACACCAAAGGACCUUCGCAGCUUUAGGAGGAGUCCCAGCACCGCCCCUGGAAUUCUCGCCCUGCUGUCUCUGUGCACAGCGGGUUGGCUUAGCACAAAAGCCACCUGACUCCACCCACCGCUCUUGGCACGUGCGGGAGUCCCAGUCCCAAACCUAGUCCUGGCCCGCCGCCACAUCCCGAGGGGAGCGACCUCUAAUCCCCGGGGCUCCUCCGAAAACCAUUAGGCAGCGGGACCGCGCCCCGCGGGUCCCACCCGGCCAUUUGUGAGCCCGCUCCCGCCGCCCCCACUUCUGUCGCUCUCCAUCGUCGCCGGAUAUCUACCGCAGCGACUGUCUGCUCGAACCCAGGACCGCAAGGCUGGCCUCUUGCCUGCCGUGCCUGUCCGGCGAGGCCAGAAGCGUUGGGUCCACGCCUUGGCUCUCUGUCACUGGCUGCCCUUGCCCUGUCAGUUUUGUGCUAGACUCUUUAUUCGCCCCCAACCCCAACCCGCGUGGCCCGCCUGGAGGAAGUGUCCA